AACGAACGCUGGCGGCAUGCCUAACACAUGCAAGUCGAACGAAGCCUUCGGGCUUAGUGGCGCACGGGUGCGUAACGCGUGGGAAUCUGCCCCUUGCUUCGGAAUAACAGUUAGAAAUGACUGCUAAUACCGGAUGAAGUCUUCGGACCAAAGAUUUAUCGGCAAGGGAUGAGCCCGCGUAGGAUUAGGUAGUUGGUGGGGUAAAGGCCUACCAAGCCGACGAUCCUUAGCUGGUCUGAGAGGAUGAUCAGCCACACUGGGACUGAGACACGGCCCAGACUCCUACGGGAGGCAGCAGUGGGGAAUAUUGGACAAUGGACGCAAGUCUGAUCCAGCAAUGCCGCGUGAGUGAUGAAGGCCUUAGGGUUGUAAAGCUCUUUUACCAGGGAUGAUAAUGACAGUACCUGGAGAAUAAGCUCCGGCUAACUCCGCG
RNAcentral lists this ribosomal RNA (433 nucleotides) under uncultured bacterium. RNAcentral describes it as "partial 16S ribosomal RNA". It matches the Rfam family "Bacterial small subunit ribosomal RNA", at positions 29 to 507 of the family's 1533-position model. The record is from RNAcentral.